RNAcentral lists this ribosomal RNA (460 nucleotides) under uncultured bacterium. RNAcentral describes it as "partial 16S ribosomal RNA". It matches the Rfam family "Bacterial small subunit ribosomal RNA", at positions 338 to 795 of the family's 1533-position model. The record is from RNAcentral.
CCUACGGGAGGCAGCAGUGAGGAAUAUUGGUCAAUGGUCGGAAGACUGAACCAGCCAAGCCGCGUGCAGGAUGACGGUACUAUGUGUCGUAAACCUCUUUUGUACGAGAAUAAUAGCGGGUACGCGUACCGGGAUGAGUGUAUCGGACGAAUAAGCAUCGGCUAACUCCGUGCCAGCAGCCGCGGUAAUACGGAGGAUUCGAGCGUUAUCCGGAUUUAUUGGGUUUAAAGGGUGCGUAGGCGGUUGGUUAAGUCAGCGGUCAAAGGCCGGGGCUUAACCCCGCGCCUGCCGUUGAAACUGGUCGUCUCGAGUUGGAGUGCAGUAUGCGGAAUGCGCGGUGUAGCGGUGAAAUGCUUAGAUAUCACGCAGAACACCGAUUGCGAAGGCAGCUUGCUGACUCCACUCUGACGCUGAGGCACGAAAGCGUGGGUAUCGAACAGGAUUAGAUACCCGGGUAGUC